UAGCAAGAAACGGGAGCAGUGUUAAU
Molecule: non-coding RNA, 26 nt
Filed under: Mus musculus (house mouse)
Lineage: Eukaryota; Metazoa; Chordata; Mammalia; Rodentia; Muridae
Source: RNAcentral